This 478-nucleotide ribosomal RNA is filed under the name uncultured bacterium. RNAcentral describes it as "partial 16S ribosomal RNA". It matches the Rfam family "Bacterial small subunit ribosomal RNA", at positions 28 to 523 of the family's 1533-position model. The record is from RNAcentral.
GACGAACGCUGGCGGCGUGCUUAACACAUGCAAGUCGAACGGUAAGGCCCUUCGGGGUACACGAGUGGCGAACGGGUGAGUAACACGUGGGUGAUCUGCCCUGCACUUCGGGAUAAGACUGGGAAACUGGGUCUAAUACCGGAUAGGACCACUGCCUGCAUGGGUGGUGGUGGAUAGAUUUUGCGGCGUGGGAUGGGCCCGCGGCCUAUCAGCUUGUUGGUGGGGUGAUGGCCUACCAAGGCGACGACGGGUAGCCGGCCUGAGAGGGUGACCGGCCGCCCUGGGACGGAGAUACGGCCCAGACUCCUACGGGAGGCAGCAGUGCGGAAUAUUGCACAAUGGGCGCAAGCCUGAUGCAGCGACGCCGCGUGAGGGAUGACGGCCUUCGGGUUGUAAACCUCUUUCAGCACCGACGAAGCGCAAGUGACGGUAGGUGCAGAAGAAGGACCGGCCAACUACGUGCCAGCCGCCGCAGUAA